AAUGAACGCUGGCGGCAGGCCUAACACAUGCAAGUCGAACGGAUCCUUCGGGAUUAGUGGCGGACGGGUGAGUAACGCGUGGGAACAUACCCUUUGGUACGGAAUAGCCUCGGGAAACUGGGAGUAAUACCGUAUGUGCUCUUCGGAGGAAAGAUUUAUCGCCAAAGGAUUGGCCCGCGUUGGAUUAGGUAGUUGGUGGGGUAAUGGCCUACCAAGCCGACGAUCCAUAGCUGGUUUGAGAGGAUGAUCAGCCACACUGGGACUGAGACACGGCCCAGACUCCUACGGGAGGCAGCAGUGGGGAAUCUUAGACAAUGGGGGAAACCCUGAUCUAGCCAUGCCGCGUGAAGGAUUAAGGCCCUAUGGGUUGUAAACUUCUUUUGUUUGGGAAGAAAUCUGGACAUUUAUGUGCAGUUGACGAUACCUUACGAAUAAGCACCGGCUAACUCCGUGCCAGCAGCCGCGGUAAU
This 470-nucleotide ribosomal RNA is filed under the name uncultured bacterium. Its description in RNAcentral is "bacterial SSU rRNA". It matches the Rfam family "Bacterial small subunit ribosomal RNA", at positions 29 to 524 of the family's 1533-position model. The record is from RNAcentral.